RNAcentral lists this ribosomal RNA (247 nucleotides) under uncultured bacterium. Its description in RNAcentral is "partial 16S ribosomal RNA". It matches the Rfam family "Bacterial small subunit ribosomal RNA", at positions 523 to 769 of the family's 1533-position model. The record is from RNAcentral.
AUACGUAGGGAGCGAGCGUUAUCCGGAUUUAUUGGGUUUAAAGGGAGCGUAGGCGGGAUAUCAAGUCAGCUGUGAAAUGUAGAUGCUCAACAUCUGCACUGCAGUUGAAACUGGUGUUCUUGAGUGCGUAAGAGGUAGGCGGAAUUCGUCGUGUAGCGGUGAAAUGCAUAGAUAUGACGAAGAACUCCGAUUGCGAAGGCAGCUUACUGGGCCGCAACUGACGCUGAAGCUCGAAGGUGCGGGUAUC